This 1712-nucleotide long non-coding RNA is filed under the name Pan troglodytes (chimpanzee). RNAcentral's name for it is "long non-coding RNA NONPTRT013461". Lineage: Eukaryota; Metazoa; Chordata; Mammalia; Primates; Hominidae. The record is from RNAcentral.
CAAAUACCCUAUGCUAUGGAGAACACGGAGUGAAAUAAUGGCACAUAGACAAAGUAUUGAUACCAAUUGUUUCUAAAUAUUUCCAACUUAAUGUUUCUAAAAUCAGGGUGAAUUUUAGUGUUUCUAAAAUUAGGGCAAAUGAUAACUGAAAGCUAAUAGUGGGUAUCUGUAGGGAGUGAAAUUCUAAUUUCUUUCUUGCCUUUUUCUGAUUUUAAUUUUUUUCUACAAAGAGCAUAUAUUUCUUUUUAAAAAAGCUCUUCCUCCCUCCUAUGGAGAAUAUAUUUCUUUUAUAAAUAAUCCAGGGAUCAUGAUCAUACAGUACUAGGUACUUUAAAAAAAAUGUAUAACUAAUAAUAAAAGUAAAAUGAGCAGAGAACACUCUGCUUUUCAUUUUGGAAGCAGUAAAGCAAGAUACACAUAUAAAUUUACUAAAAUAAGUAGAAAUGAAUUUUCCUUCUUAUUCCAUAGUUUAGACAGUAAGAGAAAAAUCUUCAUUUUCACCUGGCAAGGCGGUCUGGUGUCAGAGGACCUAGAGUGUGAAUGGAAAGUAUCCUAGUAAGAUAAUUUAUGUAGAAUGUAUUAUAUAUGGAUAUCAGCAUGAUGUACUUCUGUUAGGUCCUUUAAUGCCCAUAACACCUCUUCAAGGUAUAUACUAUUAUUUAUACCCAUUUUGCAGAUAAGAAAACUGAGGUACAGAAAGUUACCACACAAAUGCACGAAUAUGUAUAUAUAAGGCUUUUCAGGCAGUGGGGUUUGCUUUUUAAAAGACUAGAAAUAACCUAAAUACCUAUUAUUAGAGGACUACUUUAAUAAAUUAAGGCAUAUCCUCAUCAUAGGGCCAUUUAAAAGAAUAGGAUAAAGCUAUUUGUGCUGAUACAGAAAAAUUUCUAAGAAACAAAAUAUGGUUAAGUUAAAAAUAAUAAUAACCAAGAUGUAUAUAGUAUGUUCCUAAUUGAUUCUUAAAGGUUGCUAUAUAAACAAUAUUGAAGUUUGAUUACGUAGAGAAUGUUUGUGGAAGGGUGCUAGCAAGUAAUUAGUAGUGGUUGCCUCUGAAGGGGAGACAGAGAGAACUAGGGAUGUGAAAUGAGAAGGAAAUUCAUUUUUCAUUGUAUAUCUUUUUUGUAAUUUACACUUUUUACCAUAUACAAAUAAGAGUUAUUCAGACUUUACAAACUACAUUUUUAAAAUUGUCAACUAAUGCAAUUUUUUAUCCCAAGAUAUCUCUUCAACCUUAAGAAUUAGUAAAAAACAUACUUAAAAGUGUUUUCAAACACCCAAGUUAUCAUGUUUGUAUUUACCUAUAAGAUAGCUCUUUAAAAAGACUAGCCUUCCUAACCCUUGCCAGGAUAUUGAAUCAUUUCUGACUCACAAGAGAAAAUAGCCAAAUGAGUAACAAGCCUGAUGCCAUUUGAUAAGUGGGAGCUCAGGACAAAGAGUGUGGGUAGGGAGUGAAAUGAAGGGGGCCCAGGGGAAAGUACCAAAGAGGUAGGUCCCAGUACUGCUAAGAUCCCUGCAGUAAUGGGACCUUCCUCUUUGGUUAAUGUGUGAGUUGUAAGAUGUAAAGAACAGCCUUCCUAUCAUUUAAAUAGGUUUUUUUUUUUUUAACUUUAUUUUAAGUGCACGGGUACAUAUACAGGUUUGUUACAUAGGUAAACUUGUAUCAUGGGGUUUUGUUGUACAGAUUAUUUCAUCUCCCAGGUAUUAAGUCUAGA